Molecule: ribosomal RNA, 1258 nt
Filed under: Salmonella enterica
Lineage: Bacteria; Pseudomonadati; Pseudomonadota; Gammaproteobacteria; Enterobacterales; Enterobacteriaceae
Description: partial 23S ribosomal RNA
Rfam family: Bacterial large subunit ribosomal RNA
Source: RNAcentral
GGGUUGUGAGGUUAAGCGACUAAGCGUACACGGUGGAUGCCCUGGCAGUCAGAGGCGAUGAAGGGCGUGCUAAUCUGCGAUAAGCGCCGGUAAGGUGAUAUGAACCGUUAUAACCGGCGAUACCCGAAUGGGGAAACCCAGUGUGAUUCGUCACACUAUCAUUAACUGAAUCCAUAGGUUAAUGAGGCGAACCGGGGGAACUGAAACAUCUAAGUACCCCGAGGAAAAGAAAUCAACCGAGAUUCCCCCAGUAGCGGCGAGCGAACGGGGAGGAGCCCAGAGCCUGAAUCAGCAUGUGUGUUAGUGGAAGCGUCUGGAAAGGCGCGCGAUACAGGGUGACAGCCCCGUACACAAAAGCGCAUGUGCUGUGAGCUCGAUGAGUAGGGCGGGACACGUGGUAUCCUGUCUGAAUAUGGGGGGACCAUCCUCCAAGGCUAAAUACUCCUGACUGACCGAUAGUGAACCAGUACCGUGAGGGAAAGGCGAAAAGAACCCCGGCGAGGGGAGUGAAAAAGAACCUGAAACCGUGUACGUACAAGCAGUGGGAGCCCCACCACUAAGCCAGUGGUGAACUCCACAUACGCAUCCUUUGCUGAGGAUACGGUUAACGGAGCGAAAGCGACGUUCAACCGCAAAACAAGCAGAGGGGGCUUAGUGGUGGGGUGACUGCGUACCUUUUGUAUAAUGGGUCAGCGACUUAUAUUCUGUAGCAAGGUUAACCGUAUAGGGGAGCCGAAGGGAAACCGAGUCUUAAUUGGGCGUUAAGUUGCAGGGUAUAGACCCGAAACCCGGUGAUCUAGCCAUGGGCAGGUUGAAGGUUGGGUAACACUAACUGGAGGACCGAACCGACUAAUGUUGAAAAAUUAGCGGAUGACCUGUGGCUGGGGGUGAAAGGCCAAUCAAACCGGGAGAUAGCUGGUUCUCCCCGAAAGCUAUUUAGGUAGCGCCUCGUGAAUUCAUCUCCGGGGGUAGAGCACUGUUUCGGCUAGGGGGCCAUCCCGGCUUACCAACCCGAUGCAAACUGCGAAUACCGGAGAAUGUUAUCACGGGAGACACACGGCGGGUGCUAACGUCCGUCGUGAAGAGGGAAACAACCCAGACCGCCAGCUAAGGUCCCAAAGUCAUGGUUAAGUGGGAAACGAUGUGGGAAGGCCCAGACAGCCAGGAUGUUGGCUUAGAAGCAGCCAUCAUUUAAAGAAAGCGUAAUAGCUCACUGGUCGAGUCGGCCUGCGCGGAAGAUGUAACGGGGCUAAACCAU